Planococcus citri (citrus mealybug) is the source of this 845-nucleotide long non-coding RNA. RefSeq lists it as uncharacterized. The record is from RefSeq and is a predicted model, not a curated record. NCBI's taxonomy places the organism in Eukaryota, Metazoa, Arthropoda, Insecta, Hemiptera, Pseudococcidae. The transcript has 3 exons.
ACUGGUAAGUUUUAUCAGUCGACUAGUCGUUAUCGCCUAUGUAAAUAAAUUUUGACGAUUUAAUUUACGACUUUAAAUUUCCUAAUGGUGGUUUAAAACUUUAUUCAGUAUGACUGACUGUGACAUCUUUCAGUGCAGUGUAAUCAAACUUGUUUUAAUCAACCCAUUUGAAGUAGACGUACCCAGUGCAAUGGACCAGGCAAGAAACUCAGACUCUUCAUUUAUUAUGUAUUAGGUAUAUGCCACUACAAAAUUUCAAUCAUCCUGUUUUACGUAUGCAGCCUGUCAAUAUUUGGUAACCUUCCGUUUCAAUUCGAUGUUGUGAAAAUUAUGAAAACAUCAAUAAGCAUGAAAUGGAAUGGACAACGUUGAAUUCAACAACCUGCUCGACUACUUCAAGAUAAAAUAUAAAAUGAAACUAGCUUCGCUUCCUCUUCAUCCGCUUCGCUGCUGGCUUCUUCUUCGACGGUUGUUGGUUUGCAAGUUUCGCUUCCUCUUCGUCAGUUUCGCUGCUGGAUUCUUCUGCAAUGGGUCAGUGAAUCGGUCAAAUCGGGCAUGGGCAUGCCUGGCUCAUGCACCUAUAAGUACAAUGUGCCACUUGAAAGGCCCGAUCUCACUACUACGAGUAGUUAGCUCCUGCUCCGUUCGGAUACUUGAUCAGUCAGCGUCACUGGAAUAAUAAGCACUUCAAUUGGAUAUCCUGCAAGAAUUGAAAACAUUUCAAUAAAAAAAAAAAUGGAAGUGUAAAUUCAGAAUCUUAUGCUUUAAAAAAAAAUUAUUAGCAUAUUAUGCAGCUUUCAAUGUGUAGUGUGUACUUUCAGAAUUUAUAAAUACUCUGAUACCUA